GAAAAUCCACCGAAGCUUAUUGGAAUGUCUGGCAUCGUGUAUUCCAGUGAAAUCCCCCAGCGGAAGCGACCUUUUGUGGUUGUUGUAUUACUUAGCACGAACAUACAUCGAAGUCAGACAAGAAGAUGUAUCCCAGAAAUUGGAGAGCCUUGCGUCUAAACUCGUGAAUUCGAACAAUCCCGAUGAUCCAGUGCCUGUCGUGGAGUUGAAAGGGUGCAGUUAGUAUGCCGAGGUUGUGGAAAACACAGGAUGUUGUCUUCACAGUUUUAAACCUGCCAAGUAGAGAAAAAUGUCUUCAAACGGUGGAAAAUAUGCUGCUAAACUACUUCGAGCUGGAAGAUAAGGAACUUAAAUCUUCAUUUUGUGUCUGUGAAGAAAAAGAGAAAGAUAUCGUAGAAUUGCGACAGCCAAUGAAACUACCAUCAAGUCUAAUUUGCAACAUCCUCCCAGUAACAAAGAAUGAGGAAAAACAGCAUGUUCGCCUUAAGUUACAGGAAUUAAUUGGCGUUCACGACCUGUUGGGACGAAGACAUACAUACAAACUUUCAGCUUUUAUAACACACUAUGGAAUUGAUGCAAAACAGCAAAAG
Dendronephthya gigantea is the source of this 590-nucleotide long non-coding RNA. RefSeq lists it as uncharacterized. The transcript has 4 exons. NCBI's taxonomy places the organism in Eukaryota, Metazoa, Cnidaria, Anthozoa, Malacalcyonacea, Nephtheidae. The record is from RefSeq and is a predicted model, not a curated record.